RNAcentral lists this ribosomal RNA (253 nucleotides) under uncultured bacterium. RNAcentral describes it as "partial 16S ribosomal RNA". It matches the Rfam family "Bacterial small subunit ribosomal RNA", at positions 524 to 776 of the family's 1533-position model. The record is from RNAcentral.
AACGUAGGAGACAAACGUUAUCCGGAGUUACUGGGCGUAAAGGGCGUGUAGGCGGUUAGUUAAGUCUGGCGUGAAGGCUCUCGGCUAAACCGGGAGAGGUCGUUGGAUACUGGCUGACUAGAGGAUGGUAGAGGCGUGUGGAAUUCCGGGUGUAGUGGUGAAAUGCGUAGAGAUCCGGAGGAACACCAGUGGCGAAGGCGACACGCUGGGCCAUACCUGACGCUAAAGCGCGACAGCAUGGGGAGCAAACGGG